CCUACGGGAGGCAGCAGUGGGGAAUAUUGCGCAAUGGGCGAAAGCCUGACGCAGCGACGCCGCGUGAGGGAUGAAGGUCUUCGGAUCGUAAACCUCUGUCAGCAGGGAAGAACGGUCACUGUGCUAAUCAGCAGUGAAUUGACGGUACCUGCAACGGAAGCACCGGCUAACUCCGUGCCAGCAACCGCGGUAAUACGGAGGGUGCGAGCGUUAAUCGGAAUUACUGGGCGUAAAGCGCUCGUAGGCGGUAUGUCAAGUCAAGGGUGAAAUCCCCGCGCUCAACGUGGGAACUGCCUUUGAAACUGGCAGACUGGAGUGUGUGAGAGGAUAGUGGAAUUCCAGGUGUAGGGGUGAAAUCCGUAGAUAUCUGGAGGAACAUCAGUGGCGAAGGCGACUAUCUGGCACAUAACUGACGCUGAGGAGCGAAAGCGUGGGUAGCAAACAGGAUUAGAUACCCCAGUAGUC
Molecule: ribosomal RNA, 465 nt
Filed under: uncultured bacterium
Lineage: Bacteria
Description: partial 16S ribosomal RNA
Rfam family: Bacterial small subunit ribosomal RNA
Source: RNAcentral